RNAcentral lists this ribosomal RNA (461 nucleotides) under uncultured bacterium. RNAcentral describes it as "partial 16S ribosomal RNA". It matches the Rfam family "Bacterial small subunit ribosomal RNA", at positions 29 to 523 of the family's 1533-position model. The record is from RNAcentral.
AAUGAACGCUGGCGGCAUGCCUAACACAUGCAAGUCGAACGAAGAAAACAGCUUGCUGUUUUCUUAGUGGCAAACGGGUGAGUAACGCGUGGGAAUCUACCUAUCUGUGGGGGAUAACUGAGGGAAACUUCAGCUAAUACCGCAUACGCUCGGAAACGAGGAAAGAUUUAUUGCAGAUAGAUGAGCCCGCGUCAGAUUAGGUUGUUGGUGGGGUAAUGGCCUACCAAGCCGAUGAUCUGUAGCUGGUCUGAGAGGAUGAUCAGCCACACUGGGAUUGAGAUACGGCCCAGACUCCUACGGGAGGAAGCAGUGAGGAAUAUUGGACAAUGGGGGAAACCCUGAUCCAGCAAUGCCGCGUGAAUGAAGAAGGCCUUCGGGUUGUAAAAUUCUUUCACUCGUGAAGAUGAUGACGGUAGCGAGAGAAGAAGGUCCGGCUAACUCUGUGCCAGCAGCCGCCGUAA